This is a transfer RNA of 74 nucleotides. It matches the Rfam family "tRNA". From Rfam's summary of the family: Transfer RNA (tRNA) molecules are approximately 80 nucleotides in length. Their secondary structure includes four short double-helical elements and three loops (D, anti-codon, and T loops). Further hydrogen bonds mediate the characteristic L-shaped molecular structure. tRNAs have two regions of fundamental functional importance: the anti-codon, which is responsible for specific mRNA codon recognition, and the 3' end, to which the tRNAs corresponding amino acid is attached (by aminoacyl-tRNA synthetases). tRNAs cope with the degeneracy of the genetic code in two manners: having more than one tRNA (with a specific anti-codon) for a particular amino acid; and 'wobble' base-pairing, i.e. permitting non-standard base-pairing at the 3rd anti-codon position. The record is from Rfam.
GGGCCCGUGGUGAAAUGGUUAUCACGUUAUCUUCCGGAGGUAUAUGGUUGCGGGUUCGAGUCCCGCCGGGCUCU